Molecule: long non-coding RNA, 754 nt
Organism: Spinacia oleracea (spinach)
Lineage: Eukaryota; Viridiplantae; Streptophyta; Magnoliopsida; Caryophyllales; Amaranthaceae
Exons: 3
Source: RefSeq, a predicted model, not a curated record
AAUAAAUCCCAACCUUCAAUUGCACGUCAAUUACACGACACAACAUCUUCCUUGGAAGACUGUAAUUAGGCAUUUGCUUAUCAGCAUCUUGAUUAGUAGAAGCUUCCACCUAAUUAAAACCCAAGAAUUCAAAGAAUUAAUCAAUUGCUUCAACUUUCCCCAAAAAUUGACCAAGUAAACUACUGUAGCAACCCAAAUUGACCGAGAAAAAUCCAAGAACAGCAACAAUCAUCAAGUCAUCAUUUUCCAGUAGUAAGUACCUUUAUCUCAAGAUCAACUAGGUGGAUCCAUUAUUCCUUUUUGAAGUAAUUCAAGAUGACAAAUGCUUAUAAAAGUUUCAUGUUUUCCUUGCAAUGGCAACUUCACAAAGAAAGACCAGGGAGGCGAUUGCGGCGCUUGAGAACGCCAUGUUGAAAGCUGAAAUCGUGGACCGUGAAUGCCCACUUUGCAAGACGCGUGGAGGCAAAGCCAAUGUCCGGCCAUUUCGCAUGUUUCUUGUACAUUUUUUCUACGAACAUGGUGGCUGGACAUUGUGCGAAGAAUAUUUUGAGCCAGUGAAAAUAAAACUGGCUCACGCACAUGUUUGUGCCCUUGAGUAGGACAUACGAAGUAUGACUUAGAAGCGAAUUGUAGUGUUGAUUUUAGCCUGAUUUGGACUUGGGUUCAUGAGUAAGAAACUUGUUUUUCUAUGGAGUAUGUAUAAGACGAGUUAUGAUCUUUAGGAGAGUUACUAGAAAAGGGCUUUUUUGUUGAA